GCCAAUUGAGGGCCUCUAACGUGUUUUUCCACAGGGAUACAUUUAAAACGAGCUAAAAUCGGCCAAAACUAGCUUGGCCGAGGCAGACCGUCACCGUGGGCGGCGGAGCCGGCAUCAGAGCACAGCAGCGGUGCCGUGCCAGAAUCCAAAAUUUGGCUAUAAAGAGUUUUGGACAUAGAUUUUAGAUUUUUGUGGUAUUUUUAGGUACAUGACGAAUGUUUUGAAUUUUUCAAAAAAAAUUAAGGAAAUUCAGUACCC
Molecule: long non-coding RNA, 258 nt
Filed under: Carica papaya (papaya)
Lineage: Eukaryota; Viridiplantae; Streptophyta; Magnoliopsida; Brassicales; Caricaceae
Description: long non-coding RNA (CPAP_LNC002990)
Source: RNAcentral